AUUUGACCUCAAAUCAGGUAGGAACACCCGCUGAACUUAAGCAUAUCAAUAAGCGGAGGAAAAGAAAAUAACAAUGAUUCCCCUAGUAACUGCGAGUGAAGAGGGACAAGCUCAAAUUUUAAAUCUAUCGGGUUUUACCUGAUCGAGUUGUAAUUUGAAGAAGCGUUUUUUGCGUAUUUGGUCAGCCUAAGUCCUAUUGAAUGAGGCAUCAUGGAGGGUGAUAAUCCCGUCCGGUUGAUCAUUUGCGUUUUACGAUACGCUUUCUAAGAGUCAAGUUGUUUGGGAUUGCAGCUUAAAAUGGGAGGUAAAUUUCUCCUAAGGCUAAAUAACGGCGAGAGACCGAUAGCGAACAAGUACCGUGAGGGAAAGAUGAAAAGAACUUUGAAAAGAGAGUUAAACAGUACGUGAAAUUGUUGAAAGGGAAACGAUUGAAGCCAGUCGUACCUUCGGGUAAUCAGCCUUUCGGGUGCGAUUCUGUGGAGUGUGAGGAGCUUAAACACCUUCAUGUUUUGCAUAUUCGUACUCUUGGGUGUACUUGCCCGUGUGGUUGGUUAACAUCAAUUUUGGUGGUCAUAAAAUGACUGGGGGAAUGUAGCUUCGAUCUUGUAUUGAAGUGUUAUAGCCUUCGGUAGAUGUGAUGAUCGAGAUUGAGGAUUGCAACGGAUACCCUUUGGGGCUACCUGUCUGAUCUCUGAUCGUUGCUUUGGUGCCGAAAGCUUGCUUACGGUUAUCAAAGUCGAUGGUCAAUAGGUUAGAACGGGUUAAAUUCGUUAAGGAUGUUGACGUAAUGGUUUUAAACGACCCGUCUUGAAACACGGACCA
This 822-nucleotide ribosomal RNA is filed under the name Glomus sp. Att1192-44. RNAcentral describes it as "eukaryotic LSU rRNA". It matches the Rfam family "Eukaryotic large subunit ribosomal RNA", at positions 1 to 668 of the family's 3401-position model. The record is from RNAcentral. Lineage: Eukaryota; Fungi; Glomeromycota; Glomeromycetes; Glomerales; Glomeraceae.